UAAUCUAAGACAAUAAUUGAUUAGAUUUAGUCAAUUCUCUAAUUAAGUCCAUCUUUAAUCUAACCUUAGGUCUAACCCAAUUAAUGGACCUAAUUCCCACUAACCCAUUAACCUAAUGUGUUAUGGUUUGUGUCUUAGGUUCUUCAAUUCACAAUCCUAGAAACUAAUCAAACAACUUCUUAAUUCUUAAUUAAGUUUUGGGCUGAGGAUUG
RNAcentral lists this long non-coding RNA (212 nucleotides) under Elaeis guineensis (African oil palm). RNAcentral's name for it is "long non-coding RNA (EGUI_LNC079234)". The record is from RNAcentral. Lineage: Eukaryota; Viridiplantae; Streptophyta; Magnoliopsida; Arecales; Arecaceae.